Long non-coding RNA from Erinaceus europaeus (western European hedgehog), 254 nucleotides. RefSeq lists it as uncharacterized. Lineage: Eukaryota; Metazoa; Chordata; Mammalia; Eulipotyphla; Erinaceidae. The record is from RefSeq and is a predicted model, not a curated record. The transcript is spliced from 2 exons.
UAUAUAUGCUUUAUCAAAUGUGUGAGGACCUGGGUUUGAGUUCCUGACCACCACAUGGGAGCACCAUGAAAAAAUAAAGUUUUAUGGGCGAGUGACCUGGGAGGUGGCACAGUGGCUAAAGCACUGGAUUCUCAACCAUGAGGUCCCAAGUUCCAUCCCCAGCAGCACGUGUACCAGAGUGAUGUGGUUCUUUCUCUCCUUUUAUCUUUCUCAUGAAUAAAUAAAUAAAUAAAUUCUUUAUAUAUAUAUAUGUA